AAAAAGGAAAGAAAAAAAAGGGAAUCCGUGAGAUUGGGUUGUUUGCCGCCGAUCUUACUAGAGGAACUCGUCGCCGGAGGUAAGGUGAGCACCUUCUCCUCCUUCUCCUUUGUCUUUGGGCCACUGUCGCCUUGGAAUCCGGCUGGCAAGCCGCCGGACUAAUGGGAAAAGCCGAGUCUCUGUUCCGCCUUUUCCUCUUCCGUUCCGGCCGGCCGUCGCUGGGCGUGGCACCACCGGCACCACCAUGGGCCGACGACCAUAGGGCGUCGCCGGCCAUGGGCCGCCUGCUGCCGAGCACUCUCGACGGGAAGGAGGAAGGAAGAGAGGGAGAGAGAGAGAGAGCCAACUCUCUCUCUUCUUGGCUAUUUUAUUGACGGGAAGGAGGAAGGAAGAGAGGGAGAGAGGGAGAGAGAGAGUUGGUUAUUUUAUCUUCUCUCUCUAGUUGUUGUCUCUUAUUAGUCUAUUUUCUCUCUAGUUUAAUUUAGGGAGAUCAUGGAUUGUUGGUUAGUCUUGGGGUACUAGAUACUUGUAGACCCUUGAGAGGAUCCAUAGAGAGUUUUGGGUUGUCAGAUAUCUUGGGUAAUUUUUAAUAUCGUCUUGGUUCUGUAGGAGAAUAAUCCAUUGGACGAAAGGAUGUUGAGCGGAGUUCUGCGCAUCCCAGUUUCUAAAUCGCCGUGAGGGCGGGUGAUUAGUCUAUCUGAGUUUUUCAACAAAGGGUAAGAAUCCUUGUACGCCAAUC
RNAcentral lists this long non-coding RNA (739 nucleotides) under Phoenix dactylifera (date palm). Its description in RNAcentral is "long non-coding RNA (PDAC_LNC015536)". The record is from RNAcentral. Lineage: Eukaryota; Viridiplantae; Streptophyta; Magnoliopsida; Arecales; Arecaceae.